CAGUGCGUGCUACAAUACAACGAGUACAAGUAAAACGCAACUGGCGUCAUUUGUAUUUGUGAUCAAGAACGAUUUUUUAAUUAAUAUCCCCUUUUUAUAUAAAUUAUGGAUUCUUCUGAUAUCAAAACCGAAGUGGAGGAAAUUAAAAUUAAGCCUGUAAAGCGAAAAAACAUAAGAAAGCGAUGCAAAUCUGAGGAUGAAGAUUCUGACGACGAGGAGCAAAUUUUGGCGAAAUUGGAGGAGGCAAAAUUAGUCCAGCAGUUACGUGAAAGGCCUCAAGGUGUCAGUGUGAUUGCGUUAGCUACAGGGGAGAAGAUCUCUUUAGAGGAAGAGCUAACUUUUAAAGACAAAGACCCAUUUAAGAUAAAGGCUGGUGGCAUGGUGAAUAUGCAGGCAUUGAAAACGGGUCAAGUUAAACAGGUUGAUGACGCGUAUGACACUGGUAUUGGUACUCAGUUCUCAGCGGAGACUAACAAACGUGACGAAGAUGAAGAAAUGAUGAAGUAUAUCGAAGAACAGUUGUCGAAAAGAAAAGAAGGCCAUAAAGGUGAUAAGAAGGAUUCUGACCAGAAUGAUGCCCUAAAAUACCUAUCCCCCGAGGAGGCUGCUUUGCUGUCGCUGCCCGAGCACUUGAGGUCUUCCUCUACCCAGAAGUCUGAGGAAAUGCUAUCUAAUCAAAUGCUAAGUGGCAUACCGGAGGUGGACCUUGGCAUUGAUGCAAAGAUAAAAAAUAUUGAAGCCACAGAAGAAGCCAAAAUGAAACUGUUAUGGGAGAGAAGAAACAAAAAGGAUGGUCCUUCUCAAUUUGUUCCAACUAAUAUGGCUGUGAACUUUGUUCAGCACAACCGCUUCAACAUUGAAGACAACAAGAAGAGGAAAGCGGAGAAACCGGCAGUUGCUAAAGUUGAGACUGCAAAUAUAAAUAUAGAUGAGAGUGUUGACAAGAUUGUAAAGAAAGCUAAGGGGGAGAGAGCAACAGAUGAUUAUCACUAUGAAAAGUUCAAAAAGCAAUUCAGACGAUACUGAACAUGCUAGAAUGAUGCUAGUUCAUCAUUGAGCAAUUUGUAUCUAUUCUGAUGCCAUCAAACAGUGAAGAUUGGAAAAAAAUUGCAGAUAUGUUUGACCAAAACUGGAAUUUCCCUCAUUGUAUCGGGGCACUCGAUGGCAAACAUUGCGUGUUACAAAAUCCCAUACAUGGAGGCAGUGACUACUACAAUUACAAGUCUGAUUACAGUAUUGUAUUAAUGGGAAUAGUACUCGUAGAUGCAAACUACUGUUUUAUAUAUGUGAAUGUUGGAACCCAAGGGAGGAUUUCAGAUGGUGGUGUUUUUAGAAACACAAAAUUCUACGAGAAACUGCAAGGAAAUGAAUUAGGAUUGCCACCAGAUGUCGCUCUUCCGUAUCGUCAGAUGGAAAUGCCUUUUGUCUUAGUGGCCGAAGAUGCAUUCCCUAUGCAAAAGCAUAUUAUGAAACCUUAUUCAGGACAUCAAGAGUCCAGAUCAGUAAAAAGACUAUUUAACUACAGAUUAAGUAGAGCUCGCAGAGUUGUGGAAAACGCCUUUGGAAUUCUAUCAUCCGUAUUCAGAGUUCUACGAAAACCAAUGCUUCUUGAACCAGAACGAGCUACAACAAUAAUAAUGACCUGUGUAUAUUUACACAACUUUUUAAGAAAAUCCAAGCUAUCCAGAUGUAUUUAUACACCCAGGGGAACUUUUGAUCAAGAUGAUCGUGGGACUGUGACGUUGGGUUCCUGGCGAAGAAUAAAUGAAGAAGACCCACUUGCUUCAUAUUUUCCAUUACAGAACGUUCCACGAAGAUCAGCUCUUAGUACUGAGCAAAUACGCAAUGAAUUUGCGGAAUAUUUUUCCACCGUAGGCCAAGUACCUUGGCAAAAUAGUUAUGCAUAAAAUUUAAGGCAUU
Non-coding RNA from Plutella xylostella (diamondback moth), 1920 nucleotides. NCBI's taxonomy places the organism in Eukaryota, Metazoa, Arthropoda, Insecta, Lepidoptera, Plutellidae. The record is from RefSeq and is a predicted model, not a curated record.